GCCGGUCUUCGUCACCGUGGGCAAUCACGACGUGCCCUAUUGGGACGUGAUGGCGCGGCUGUUCUGGCCGUGGCGGGCGUUCGAACGCGCGACCGGCC
Molecule: transfer RNA, 98 nt
Filed under: Brevundimonas diminuta
Lineage: Bacteria; Pseudomonadati; Pseudomonadota; Alphaproteobacteria; Caulobacterales; Caulobacteraceae
Description: tRNA-Asn
Source: RNAcentral